UUGCACCCGUUCUGUCUACAGCAUAGAUCUUCUCAACUGCUCUGACCCAAAGCAUCAGCAGGACCAGCUGUCCCUGAUGACGAAGAAUUGUAAGAUUUUAUAAGGUGGUUACAACGACAGUAAAUAAAGCUAAGAAAAGAUAGAUAUGUUUCUCUACAUUAUCCUGGAAGUUUUACUGCCGUCAUCACUGGCUUUAAGUAGAGAUCUGGACCUGUUUCAAGCAGUGAUAGGAGGACAGGCGCACCUACCAUGUGACGUCACUGCUCCUUCAUCUGAUGACUCUGUGUCGCUUGUAUUGUGGUAUCGGAGUAACAUCAACGCUCCUAUUUUUAGUGUAGACUGCAGAAAUGGGCCUUUAGAGAAUUCCCAACACUUUCCCAGUGAUUAUUUAGGAAAGCGCGGGACUUUUGACCUGAGUACUAGACCUGCCGUAUUCACCAUUAACCCUGUUUUGCCCGAAGACGAAGGAAAAUAUCGGUGCCGUAUAGACUAUCGCCGAGCUCGAACCUUUAAUGUUAGAAUGAAACUACAAGUCAUCACGCCCCCUACGAGUGUUGUCAUCGUCGAUCAGAACAAUCAACGACUGAGAAAUAUUAUAGGGCCUUACAAUGAAGGUUCGAGGAUUGUUCUUCGGUGUAUCGCGGAAGGAGGAAAACCUCCUCCAGCAGUUACUUGGUGGCGGAGCUCAGUAUUGAUAGACAACCAUUACAUGCAAAUAGACAGCGACAAAGUUGAGAAUCAGCUAUUUAUUGACCUUAAUCGUCAAGAUUUCAACAUGUCUCUGACGUGCCAAGCUUCGAACACAAACCUCACAUCUCCAAAGAACGUUUCAGUGAACGUCGACAUGAAUUUGAAGCCGCUGGACGUACAUAUAAUGUAUGCCAAGCCUUAUAUUUCUGCUGGUCAACGGGUCAGUGUCCAGUGUCGAACAUCAGGGUCACGACCUGCUGCACAUCUAGCCUGGUUCAAAGAAGGUCAGCUGAUGGAAGGGAGCAAGGAUGUUACUGACCGCAAUGGGAUCUGGACGAUAAGUACUCUUGUGUUCACGCCAUCUAGUGAUGACAAUGGAAAAUAUAUUUCUUGUCAGACGAUGAACCCUAAUUUUCCUAAUUUCACUCGUCAAGAUGGUUGGAAUCUGAAUGUUUAUUACAAACCGGAGGUAUUCGUGUCUCUAGAACUCAGCCAUCCAUCUGAGAAACUCCACGAGGGAGAUAGUAUUUUUCUGGAAUGUCGAGCCCAUUCCAACCCUAUUAUCACUAGCAUUCUGUGGUACUUUGAGGAUAACCUACUUACGAGCAACUCAACAGCAGAUAUAUUCGUGAGAAACCAGAGCAUUGAGAUCAAGAAUGCACAAAGGAGACAUAGUGGAAAGUACAAUUGUGCUGCGGAAAAUGCCGAGGGCCGGAGUACUAGUAACGGAUUUCAGUUAAAUAUUAAAUAUGCUCCUAUCUGUAAAGAUGGACAGAAGACAGCAUAUACAGUGUCUUUAAACGAAGGCGUGCAGGUCACAUGCGAAGUAGACGCAGAUCCCACGACUAUCAACUUUCUUUGGCACUUUAACAAUUCGGUGGAGAGUCGAGAGAUUCUGUCUGUAAGAAGUGAUGGUCUCGUAAGUUCGGCACGUUACAUUCAUCGUCAGCACGACGACUUUGGCGUUUUGACAUGCAGAGGACAGAACUCUGUUGGUGUCCAGAAGGAACCUUGUCGAUACAGUCUCAUCCCAGUAGGUCCUCCUGAUCCUGUACACUCUUGUAACGUGUCCAAUUGUUCAAGCGGGUCCUUCAUCCUAGAAUGCAGUCCAGGAGACGACGGUGGAUUGCCACAAAGCUUUCAUUUAGAGGUUUACAGUUCAGAGUCUAACGUACUACUGGCCAACCUAACGAGGCUAAGUAAUCCAGUUUUCCAAGCAACCAACCUUCCAGCAGGAGAAUCUUUUUAUCUAAUAGUUUACGCUGCUAAUGCCAAGGGCCAGAGCCAGGGGGUUAGAACCACAGCUAAGAUUCCUCUAUCAGCCAAGCGACAAUUAGGAAAAUUUUCCUCAUCCGGACUUAGACCACUUCUGGGGGUUCUGGUGGGAACGGUGGCUUCUUUGGUGUUGAUGGCGAUAAUUAUUGUAAUUAUCAUCCGUAUGAGGGGAAUGGAGGCUCAACCUAAUGGAAAAGGAGGUUUUACCAUCAUUCAACAAGUCGGAUGUCUUUUCAUCAGUACGAUAAACCAGUAGAAGAAGGAUCUCACUCUCACGAAAUCUCGGAGUUUCAAAAUCGUUUUAACACCAAAGACUUGGAUACUAGAUCCAGUGACUGCUUGACUACCGAGGAUAGUCACAGUUUUCAAUAUCCUGAUCCUUAUUAUCCACGAUUAAAGACUCCACCUAUGGCUGUUAGGUUGCGAGUUACUGCUGACAAUCAUCCUUCAGAGCAAG
Molecule: unclassified non-coding RNA, 2422 nt
Filed under: Limulus polyphemus (Atlantic horseshoe crab)
Lineage: Eukaryota; Metazoa; Arthropoda; Merostomata; Xiphosura; Limulidae
Description: nephrin-like, transcript variant X3
Source: RNAcentral